GACGAACGCUGGCGGCGUGCUUAACACAUGCAAGUCGAACGGCAAGGCCCUGCUUUUGUGGGGUGCUCGAGUGGCGAACGGGUGAGUAACACGUGAGUAACCUGCCCUUGUCUUUGGGAUAACUUCAGGAAACUGGGGCUAAUACCGGAUAGGAGCUCCUGCUGCAUGGUGGGGGUUGGAAAGUUUCGGCGGUUGGGGAUGGACUCGCGGCUUAUCAGCUUGUUGGUGGGGUAGUGGCUUACCAAGGCUUUGACGGGUAGCCGGCCUGAGAGGGUGACCGGCCACAUUGGGACUGAGAGACGGCCCAGACUCCUACGGGAGACAGCAGUGGGGAAUAUUGCACAAUGGGCGGAAGCCUGAUGCAGCGACGCCGCGUGCGGGAUGACGGCCUUCGGGGUGUAAACCGCUUUCGCCUGUGACGAAGCGUGAGUGACGGUAAUGGGUAAAGAAGCACCGGCUAACUACGUG
Molecule: ribosomal RNA, 468 nt
Filed under: uncultured bacterium
Lineage: Bacteria
Description: partial 16S ribosomal RNA
Rfam family: Bacterial small subunit ribosomal RNA
Source: RNAcentral